This 2108-nucleotide long non-coding RNA is filed under the name Triticum aestivum (bread wheat). RNAcentral describes it as "long non-coding RNA (TAES_LNC023203)". The record is from RNAcentral. Lineage: Eukaryota; Viridiplantae; Streptophyta; Magnoliopsida; Poales; Poaceae.
GUAUGUAUGUUGUUGAGUGUUAAAUCCCGUCCAAAGGAUUGGCAAGUUGCUGCUUGGAAACUUGGUAGAUACAAACGAUUAGUGCUCUGUACAAGCUAGUUGUUUACUGAGUAGAAGGAAGGUUACUCUACUGCUUGAAUGUACCAAUGAAGAUGCUCUUCACAACUCUAAUCCUUGGUGCCAAUGGGUAUUCUUCCAUUUACUAUGAUUAAGUGCUCUUUGUGCUAAUUCUGGAUGUUAUAAAAAAUGAACUUUGGCUAAUGAACACGUAGUUGGAAUGAACAAGUACCCUUGUUUAUCUCCAUUGAUCGAUUGAUGUGAGAUCAUUUAGUUCAUUCGUCAUCACACACAUAUACUUGUACAUGUAAGAAAAGCAAUCAGAUAGAGAAUCUCUUUCUGUCUCUUCUUUGUUUGCUACAAAUAUAGACUGAAAGUGGAGUAGUUCUUCUAGAGUUUAAAGAUUUGAACUUGCAAAAGUGUUAGUUCUCUGAUAUGAAGUUUAUUAUUUAUGUUUUGUGAAGGUUGUUGUCUGAAUGUGAUAUACCCAUAUAUUAUAUAAAGAACAAGUUCAGAUCGGUAUAAAAAAUUAUGCUUAAACUUUCAUGCCAUCUAAUAGAUAAUAGUCUAUGUAUACUUUUCAACGUCAUAAGCAUUGUAGUAACUACAUUGCCACAGGAAAUUAGAUAUUGUGAUCUAUCUUUCAUACCUAUAUACAUAUUAUGCUUGGACGUGUGUUGUUUGUGCGAAAGGAAACAUUUAGUAUUUUGUAAUGCUUGAACUGAAGGUAGUCUCUACUUAAAUAUUUCUCCAUUUAAUCAAGUAAGAACAGUUCUUCAGAACAUUUUAUCCUUUUAAUCUUCAGACAUCUUGACAGGAAGCACCAGGGAAUGUUUGCAGUUUCAAUUUAUAUUGUACGUAAAGGACUGUAGAUAUGUUCUCUGCCAGUCAAAACUUCUAAAUGAUCUAUGCACUAUGGCAGUGCCGCAGUGGAUACUUCUAAAUGACUGCACACAUGUUUUAUUAAGUCUUAUCAGUAUAUGGAGUUCAAUAAUCUUUUGGUGCUAAACAAGUGGAUGCUAUAACUGAAUACUAAAUCAGUAAAACACUGUAGGAGUUUUACAAGCAAGCUUUGGGUAAAAAGAUUUUUGUAUUGUGCUGUUUAUUCCCAUUGGUCGAUCGAUGUGAGAUCAUCUAGUUCAACUGUCAUCACGCACAUAUACAGUUACAUGGAAGAAAAAUAACUAGCUAGAGAACUUAUUUAUGCCUCCUUUUGUUUUGCUGCAAAGACAGACUGAAAGUGGAGUACUCUUCUAGAGUUUAAUUGUUAUAACAUGCUGCUUUUAUAAGGUUGCAAUCUUCAAUCUAGUUUUAGUCAAUAAGUUAUUGUUUCUUAAGAAUACAUAAAGAAUGGAUUCUUAUAUGUUCCAUGUAUUAUGUUAGGGCAAGUAAUUAUCAGCUGAGCAAAUGCUACAACGUGCUAGGAGGAGAAGUUCGAAUGGAGGCAGAGAGUACACUUGGUAAGUCAUAUAUCGAACCUGAACUUAUUUACUCAUUUUUUUAUUUUUGUUCUAGUCCGAGUCCAAAAAGAUGGUUUGACAAAUGGGGGUGACAUUCUGUACACAGGUGCGCAUCUACAAUUCAUGCUUGUGAAGCAUUUUUUAAAAAUAAAAUUGAAUAUGGGAAAAUUUGGGUUCCAAGUUUUGCCAUGCUGUCAUGACUUUGUAUUAGUUUGCCCCCUUCAACAUGUAAAACUAUGAACCUGACCAUGUUUUAUUUGGAACAUUUAGAUGAUGUGUCGGAAUGAAAACAAAAGGCAAUGAUGAGAAGGAAAACAAACACCAAUCUACUUACAUCUGAUGUGUAAAUUCUAAUGUGCCAAAAAAUUCUCUUUUCAGGAAAUAGAAUGGAAAAAGGAAGAGGAGAUAAUGUUGAAGCACACGAGCAAGAGGCUAGCAGAAGUUAAAGCAAUACACUAUAAGCAUUUUGAAUGAUUAGGGCCUUGUGUUGUUGGGAACAUUACAACCAUGGGGAAAGCUAAUUUUAGGAUUUUUUUUUGAAACUAUGAUGAUUUUUAUAGCAAAUUCGAAAACUAUACACCCUAAUGGAGA